UUUUCUGCCACCGAAUACAUUAGCAUGGGAUAAUGGAAUAGGACCCUGUCCUCCUAUUUUCAGUUGGUUUUGGCAGCGCGAGGACUAGGGUAAUGAUUAAUAGGGAUAGUUGGGGGCAUUAAUAUUUAAUUGUCAGAGGUGAAAUUCUUGGAUUUAUGAAAGAUUAACUUCUGCGAAAGCAUCUGCCAAGGAUGUUUUCAUUAAUCAAGAACGAAAGUUAGGGGAUCGAAGACGAUCAGAUACCGUCGUAGUCUUAACCAUAAACGAUGCCGACCAGCGAUUAGGAGACGUUGAAUACAAAACACCACCAUCGGCGCGGUCGUCCUUGGCGUCUCGGUCCUUCACGGGGCCGGGGCGCGGGGGCGGCUUAGCCCGGUGGCACCGGUGAAUGACUCCCCUAGCAGCUUGUGAGA
This 413-nucleotide ribosomal RNA is filed under the name Acanthamoeba sp. CHI3205. RNAcentral describes it as "SSU rRNA". It matches the Rfam family "Eukaryotic small subunit ribosomal RNA", at positions 785 to 1095 of the family's 1831-position model. Lineage: Eukaryota; Discosea; Longamoebia; Acanthamoebidae. RNAcentral also lists the same sequence under 1 other name. The record is from RNAcentral.